This 433-nucleotide ribosomal RNA is filed under the name uncultured bacterium. Its description in RNAcentral is "partial 16S ribosomal RNA". It matches the Rfam family "Bacterial small subunit ribosomal RNA", at positions 29 to 507 of the family's 1533-position model. The record is from RNAcentral.
AACGAACGCUGGCGGCAUGCCUAACACAUGCAAGUCGAACGAGACCUUCGGGUCGAGUGGCGCACGGGUGCGUAACGCGUGGGAACCUGCCCUUAGGUUCGGAAUAACUCCCCGAAAGGGGUGCUAAUACCGGAUAAUGUCUUCGGACCAAAGAUUUAUCGCCUUUGGAUGGGCCCGCGUUGGAUUAGCUAGUUGGAAGGGUAAAAGCCUACCAAGGCGACGAUCCAUAGCUGGUCUGAGAGGAUGAUCAGCCACACUGGGACUGAGACACGGCCCAGACUCCUACGCGAGGCAGCAGUGGGGAAUAUUGGACAAUGGACGAAAGCCUGAUCCAGCAAUGCCGCUUGAGUGAUGAAGGCCUUAGGGUUGUAAAGCUCUUUUACCCGGGAUGAUAAUGACCGUACCGGGAGAAUAAGCUCCGGCUAACUCCGUG